This 361-nucleotide unclassified non-coding RNA is filed under the name Bombus terrestris (buff-tailed bumblebee). Its description in RNAcentral is "misc RNA ENSBTSG00005027077.1". The record is from RNAcentral. Lineage: Eukaryota; Metazoa; Arthropoda; Insecta; Hymenoptera; Apidae.
GUGAGUUGAGAGUCGAGUGGUGAAGAAUCGAGUUGAGAUAGUCGUGAGUUAAGAAUCGAGUAGAGUAGUCGUGAGUUGAGAGUCGAGUGGAGUAGUCUUGAGUUGAGUCGAGUGGAGUAGUCGUGAGUUGAGAGUCGAGUGGAGUAGUCUUGAGUUGAGAGUCGAGUGGAGUAGUCUUGAGUUGAGUCGAGUGGAGUAGUCGUGAGUUGAGAGUCGAGUGGAGUAGUCUUGAGUUGAGAGUCGAGUGGAGUAGUUGUGAUAGUCGUGAGUUGAGAGUCUAGGUAUGAGGAGUUGAGUAGUCGUUAGUUGAGAGUCGAGGUGUGAGGAGUUGAGUAGUCGUGAGUUGAGAGUCGAGAUGCGA